This 253-nucleotide unclassified non-coding RNA is filed under the name Glomeraceae sp. RNAcentral's name for it is "partial contains 5.8S ribosomal RNA and internal transcribed spacer 2". The stretch from base 1 to 71 matches the Rfam family "5.8S ribosomal RNA", at positions 84 to 154 of the family's 154-position model. The record is from RNAcentral. Lineage: Eukaryota; Fungi; Glomeromycota; Glomeromycetes; Glomerales; Glomeraceae.
GUGAAUCAUCGAAUCUUUGAACGCAAGUUGCACUCUCUGGUAUUCCGGAGAGUAUGCCUGUUUGAGGGUCAGUUUAAAUAAAAAUCGGUGUGGUUGCUGCAUAUCGUGGUGACGUAUCGGUCUUGGGUCGUCUUGCUUUCGGUUAAGUGACAUAUAAUUUUGCAUGAUUUUUUUCGAACGUAUUUAAAUGAUUUUAAGUACGUUUGCGAUAUCGAAUACUAGGUGUGGUAAUUAUCAUGAAUAGUGCCUAUAA